Molecule: non-coding RNA, 73 nt
Organism: Taenia asiatica
Lineage: Eukaryota; Metazoa; Platyhelminthes; Cestoda; Cyclophyllidea; Taeniidae
Source: Rfam
GUCCGUGUGGCUUAAUGGACAGGGCGUCUGCUUUCUAAGUAGGGAUGUGUGGGUUCGGGUCCCGUCACGGACG